RNAcentral lists this unclassified non-coding RNA (21 nucleotides) under Mus musculus (house mouse). RNAcentral's name for it is "oocyte_clustered_small_RNA6603". The record is from RNAcentral. Lineage: Eukaryota; Metazoa; Chordata; Mammalia; Rodentia; Muridae.
UUUUGUUUGUACAGUGUAUGU